AUGGUAUUCCCUCCGUCCGAAAAUUCUUGUCUUAGUUUUGUCAAGAAAUGGAUGUAUCUAAGUACUAAAUUUGACUAGAUACAUUCGUAUCUAAACAAAUAUCAGACAAGACUUUUUGGGACGGAGGGAGUACUUU
Hordeum vulgare subsp. vulgare (domesticated barley) is the source of this 136-nucleotide non-coding RNA. The record is from Rfam. Lineage: Eukaryota; Viridiplantae; Streptophyta; Magnoliopsida; Poales; Poaceae.